RNAcentral lists this ribosomal RNA (484 nucleotides) under uncultured bacterium. RNAcentral describes it as "partial 16S ribosomal RNA". It matches the Rfam family "Bacterial small subunit ribosomal RNA", at positions 30 to 507 of the family's 1533-position model. The record is from RNAcentral.
AUUGAACGCUGGCGGCAUGCCUUACGCAUGCAAGUCGAACGGCAGCGCGGGAGCAAUCCUGGCGGCGAGUGGCGAACGGGUGAGUAAUACAUCGGAACGUGCCCAAUCGUGGGGGAUAACGCAGCGAAAGCUGUGCUAAUACCGCAUACGAUCUACGGAUGAAAGCAGGGGAUCGCAAGACCUUGCGCGAAUGGAGCGGCCGAUGGCAGAUUAGGUAGUUGGUGAGGUAAAGGCUCACCAAGCCUUCGAUCUGUAGCUGGUCUGAGAGGACGACCAGCCACACUGGGACUGAGACACGGCCCAGACUCCUACGGGAGGCAGCAGUGGGGAAUUUUGGACAAUGGGCGAAAGCCUGAUCCAGCCAUGCCGCGUGCAGGAUGAAGGCCUUCGGGUUGUAAACUGCUUUUGUACGGAACGAAACGGUCUUUUCUAAUAAAGAAGGCUAAUGACGGUACCGUAAGAAUAAGCACCGGCUAACUACGUG